CAACUUGCAGCUUAAUUGAUAAUAAUAUACUUGAAAAGUUUAUUAUACGUAGAAGCACUGCAGAUUGAUAGUCAAUCUCAAACAUCAUUCUUCCGUUGAUGAAUCAUGUUUGUGAAGUCAGUGUUGAAAUCAGAAUAUAUAGACGAAACCUUUGAUAUGUUUCCAUUGAGUUCUUGAAUUAAGCUCACGUUCUGCACCAUGCUAUCGUGUGUUCUCGAUUGAUGAUUCUCGUUAACUUGUUGAAUCAACAAUCUAUUUCGAUCCAACACAGACUGCACUUGCCUAAAAUUGUUGGAAAAAUUGUUCCACAUCUCAGAAGAAUCACCUUCCUCCAUGUUAAAAUCCACGGUAGAGUUGUCACGAACGCGAUGGCGAUUAUUAUUUAUCUUACGAGAGUUUGAUUUGGUUAUGGUUUGACGAUGGCGAUUGAAG
This 432-nucleotide unclassified non-coding RNA is filed under the name Hevea brasiliensis (rubber tree). Lineage: Eukaryota; Viridiplantae; Streptophyta; Magnoliopsida; Malpighiales; Euphorbiaceae. The record is from RNAcentral.